AUACGGAGAGUGCAAGCGUUAUUCGGAAUUACUGGGCGUAAAGCGCGUGCAGGCGGGUAUGCAAGUCUGAUGUGAAAGCCCCGGGCUCAACCUGGGAAGUGCAUUGGAAACUGCAUAUCUUGAGUGCUGGAGAGGAAGGGGGAAUUCCCGGUGUAGAGGUGAAAUUCGUAGAGAUCGGGAGGAAUACCAGUGGCGAAGGCGCCCUUCUGGACGGCAACUGACGCUGAGACGCGAAAGCGUGGGGAGC
This 247-nucleotide ribosomal RNA is filed under the name uncultured bacterium. Its description in RNAcentral is "partial 16S ribosomal RNA". It matches the Rfam family "Bacterial small subunit ribosomal RNA", at positions 523 to 769 of the family's 1533-position model. The record is from RNAcentral.